GUAGGUGGCAAGCGUUGUCCGGAAUUAUUGGGCGUAAAGCGCGCGCAGGUGGUUCUUUAAGUCUGAUGUGAAAGCCCCCGGCUCAACCGGGGAGGGUCAUUGGAAACUGGGGAACUUGAGUGCAGGAGAGGAAAGUGGAAUUCCACGUGUAGCGGUGAAAUGCGUAGAUAUGUGGAGGAACACCAGUGGCGAAGGCGACUUUCUGGCCUGUAACUGACACUGAGGCGCGAAAGCGUGGGGAGCAAACAGGGAUUAGAUACCCUGGUAGUCCACGCCGUAAACGAUGAGUGCUAAGUGUUGGGGGGGUUUCCCGCCCCCCCUCAGUGCUGCAGCUAACCGCAUUAAGCACUCCCGGUCCUGGGGGUAGUACGGUCGCAAGACUG
Molecule: ribosomal RNA, 383 nt
Filed under: uncultured organism
Description: partial 16S ribosomal RNA
Rfam family: Bacterial small subunit ribosomal RNA
Source: RNAcentral